AUACGGAGGAUCCGAGCGUUAUCCGGAUUUAUUGGGUUUAAAGGGUGCGCAGGCGGCCAUUUAAGUCAGCGGUUAAAUCGUGGGGCUCAACCCCAUUCUGCCGUUGAUACUGGGUGGCUUGAUUGCGGUCGAGGUUGGCGGAAUUCGUUGUGUAGCGGUGAAAUGCAUAGAUAUGACGAAGAACACCGAUUGCGUAGGCAGCUGACCAGAACGCAAAUGACGCUCUUGCACGAGAGUGCGGAGAUCGAACAGGAUUAGAUGCCAUGGUAGUCCGCACAGUAAACGAUGAAUACUUGUUUUCGGCGAUAUAAUGUCGGAUGCAAAGCGAAAGCGAUAAGUAUUCCGCCUGGGGAGUACGCCGGCAACGGUGAAACUCAACUGAAUUGACGGGG
RNAcentral lists this ribosomal RNA (392 nucleotides) under uncultured bacterium. RNAcentral's name for it is "partial 16S ribosomal RNA". It matches the Rfam family "Bacterial small subunit ribosomal RNA", at positions 523 to 918 of the family's 1533-position model. The record is from RNAcentral.